Molecule: long non-coding RNA, 2618 nt
Organism: Ctenopharyngodon idella (grass carp)
Lineage: Eukaryota; Metazoa; Chordata; Actinopteri; Cypriniformes; Xenocyprididae
Exons: 3
Source: RefSeq, a predicted model, not a curated record
UAAAAUGAGUGAGGAACUGAGAGUAAAAUGAUUCCCAGAGCUUUAGUGUUUGGAGGAUUAGACUGAUGGCAUGAAAAUAAAGUUACUAAUGUCUACUAAUUUUAGUCUAAAUAUGAAAGUUAUAUUUAGAUUAUACAUGACUUAAUGAAUUAUCUGUAAAAGGGUGAGGUGUUCACUGUUAUUAUAUAAAAUGCUUGUAUGUGGGCAUAUUUCUGGGGCCCUGCAGCGAACCAACCGAGGGGCAUUCCCUCCCCCGAGGAACGGUAUCAGACCCGCUUCCACUACCUCGCAAUGGGCCCCGCCCCAUGCUUGGGACGGCCCUGCUGGUAGCCACAUAAUAUAAAUAUAUAACAAAAUAUGCACAUAGCCCUAAAGAUUAUACAUUCCACACUCAAUAUACUGUCUCUGCAUGUCAGCUACAUAUAUAUUUCCCAUUCUAGUGUCAAGAUGUUUAUUAUUGUGUCUGUGACUAGAUGCAGUAAAAUAAUUAUGGAGUGGGAGCAUCACAGCAGGCGAGUCACAGACUGAGGGAGACAGUAACGGCAUCCGCAGACGUAUACGGCUUCUCCUAUCUGCCUGGAAAAGCACCAGCGGUGAUUGUGACUGCUCUCGGCACUGCCUCAGCUUUGGACAAAGAGGGCAUUGAGGGAAGUGGAAAGGGAAAACUGACAGGCCUGAGAAGAGCACCAUCUCAGAUAGACCAUCUCCAGGAAACCAAAGGAAGCCAGACAGAGACCCAAACCCUGCAAGACAUACACACAGACAUACCAGUAUCUAGAACCCUGUAAGUGCAAUCCAAACACACGCUGCAGGUUCAAGAUGAAACACUCGGUUCAUUACAUUGUUGUUUUGGCCGGGAUAUGUCCUCAUCUAUGAGGGGGUGUACUGUGGUCUGGGCCCAGGAAGGGAAAGAGAUUCUCAUUCAUGUGGCAGCGCACAGCACAGUCACAGUUUUCCACAGGGAGCUCAGUGGACACCAUCUUCUACCCAUCCUGUAUCCUUUAAGACUAUGUUUGCACUGGUCUGAACCCAAUUAAACCACAGUCUCAGGAAGUGAUUCAGAGUGGUGUGUGUACCCUUCCUGCAAGUGUAGGAGUACAGACUGCCGGUCAGCACAAAUAGGCUAACUUUUAAAAAGUGAUUUUUGGAUUCAUGUAGAGGAAAUUUGUAAGGGUGGCUUGUAGUUCACAAAUCUUUUUUUUGGAAAUGGCCCUCAAUAAAUGGUCAAAGAGUGAUGCUGUCAAACAUUCUUCAGUAGACAUUGACCUCUUCAUCUCAUUCCACACGCUUUCCUGUAAUGUCCAUUACGUUAUUUCCAAAAGUUCUGAGAAUGUUCAAAAUGUUUUUGUAAUGUUUAGAAACACUUUUCCUAGGUUAUAUGACGUUCUGAAUAACAUUCCAUUGGGUUAAACAGGAUUGCACAAAAUUAUAUUCUAACAAUAGUAAAAUAAUUAAACAAUAGAACUAAAGAAACACUCUAUUAAACCAAAGUCUUAUUCAAGGAAAGACAGUUCACUCUGGGACCAUAUUUGCAACUCUUAUCUUCUUGAAUGGGGAAAUUAUUAUAAAAUCUCACAAACUGAUGUUUAUUUGUUACCAUUCAUAGUAAUAUGAAUAUAAUAUACCGCCUUGGUGCAGUAUAUAUAUAUAUAUAUAUAUAUACAGUCUUUCAUUUAACUAAACUUGUUGAUUCAACAAUGGUCAAACUUCCCUGUAGUGACUUUUAAAGAACGGUGCACUAAUAAUGUAUUAAUAAUGUUAAUAUUUUAAAAACGUACAUAAAGUCUGAUAGUGUUAAAGAUUGCUCUGUCAACAUUACUGCAAGAUUGUUUUGUUUGUAAAUUUUGACAACUUUCUGAUACUGUUCCCUCUUAGCUAGGCAGCAACUCUAGCAUUUUAAAAUCAUCUAUGCGGUCAGUUACUUAUUGAAUGUACAUCAUCUGGUCCACCAUCAUUGUGCAAAGGUAAAUAUUGCUUAAUUAUUAGUGUUUACCAUGGAAGACCUUAUAGACCCCCUCAUCACAGGGCCUGGGACAAAAUUCUCUCGAUGAUGUCUUGGCUCUGUCACACACACCAAUAUCAUUACAUCUGAUUUUAAAAGAGCCUUGUAUUUUACUCAAAAUAAGAGCAACCCUUCAUUAAUCUUUUAUUUAUUAACCCGAAUUUCAACAUUGCGCAUCUGUAAUCGUUAAAAAUGUAGGUGAAAGUACAGUUACAGCAUGCACUUCACUCUUGCUGAUACCAGCUGUUUGAAUGUAAACACACUAAGAAAUUUGAAGCAUGUAAAUAAUUUUUUAAACAGUCCACACAUUUAACACAGGUUAUGAGUGAGACAGAAUAACUGAAGCUUUAAGUGUUGCAUUCUGUCCUGCAUUCAAUCUCUGUCAAUGAAUCAUUGGGAGAAAAAUUCAUGACUCACCCCAAAUGUCUGUUAUAGUGUUAAAAACAAUGAUCAUUUCCAAGAAUAAAGGGGCCUAAAUAGCAGAAACUGAUGACUAGACACAUUUUGUGUUCAAGCAUGCAGUUCUUUUUAAGCAACCUUAAUAUCUGUUUAACUGUUUUAAUCAGCUAUUUAAGUGAGUUUAUAUCUCUACAGUGACAUGCAUCGUUCAUCUGAG